Molecule: non-coding RNA, 3461 nt
Filed under: Pongo abelii (Sumatran orangutan)
Lineage: Eukaryota; Metazoa; Chordata; Mammalia; Primates; Hominidae
Source: RNAcentral
AAAUGGGGGCUCACCAGCUGCCCAUGGAUGGAGUGGGAGGAGGCCCCCAGUCUCCAGGAGGCUCCAUGCCUCAGGGUCAGACCGGCAGCUCAGGAACCCAGUUAGCAGGACGAACUCCAGCAGAGGAACUCAGCGCCAUUGCUGCGGCUGUCGGCCAGAAGAGAAAGAGAAAGAGAAAGAGAAUCCGCCUCGGUGUGACAACCCGAGUAGCAGGAGAGUGGGCAGCAGGGGGUGUCUGGGAGCAGAGAGGGGCUCAGGCCUGCUGGGUGGAGCGGCACUGGGGGACACAGGUGGGCCCUGCGGGAGGCAGGAGUUGUCCAGGCAAAGCCGAGGGGAAGGGCCGGCGUGAAGGAGGCGCCUGAUGGGAGGGGCGAGUUCUCCCCCGCACCGUUCCAGUCCACUCUGGGUUUCCUGUAGAAGGGGGAGCCCCCCCAAAGUCCAUCUGUGUUUCCCCACCUCACUCACACACUCAAGGACCCUUGGCUGCUCCCCGUGGCGCUGACUGACAUUUUUGCCGAAUAAAGGGGCCCUGUGGGUUUCCUGUUCCCAUCUCAGCUUCUGCUGAACAGGGUAAACUUCCCUUCCAAAUAAAACCGCCAGAUUGCGGUCUGGCCAGUUUCAGUCACAGGCCCACCAGGCCUGUGUCCCUGUGUGAGGGGGUGGGAAAAGCCCAGAGCGCCCCCACCCGUCCCCUGGGAGGGGUGGAAGGGCAGCUCUUGCUCCCCCUGCAGAGACGCUGCUCGGACUGGGAAGGCUGCCAGCCUCGCCCGGUCUCCCUGUGGACCCUGCCCUGACCCUGCUCCCUGCACCCCACUGGGCUUCCCUGCCCCACAGAGCCUGGUGGUGGGGAGACCUCUGGAUGGAGACAGCCCAUAGCCCUGGAGCCCCAAGGCAGGCACCAGUGAGUCCCUCGUGACAGCCUUGCUCCCCGCAUCACAUGGAACCCCGUGACCCAUGUGAGGGCACCAGUGCCCCCGUGGCCCCUUCCUACUGCUGGACGUGGUGCAGCCAAUGGAAGCCCAGGUCUGUCACGCGCCGCCUGUGCUUGCCCAGAACAGGUCCCGGUCACCCCCUCUGGCACCGCCCCCUCCACACCAGGAACCCCCACCUCCAGCAAGCCGAUCUGCCGACGCCUGGCCCAGGACUGCCCCCUGCCCCUCCUGGUCCUGACUUCAGCCAGGUGACCCCCUCCAGGGUCCAGCCCUGGGCCCUGGGGGACUCAGUGGCAUCUGGUGGAAAGGACCUUGGGGAUCGUGCCCACCCUCACCUGCAGGAGAGUUGGCAGGGUGGCCAGCCACAGGAAGCUGUGGCAGGAACCUGGGGACCUGCAGCCCUACUAGAAAGUGUGCAGCCCUGCAGGCCGGCACUGGAGAGGGAGCAGGCAGGGGUGAAGUUAGGCAGGCUGUGGUGUGUGGCACCAUCCUGUGGGGCCAAGCGUCCCGAGCUCCAGAGGCAGGUGCACUCCUGGCCACCAUCCAGGGUGGACAAGCCCAGACCCCAAUACUCUGAGGCAGGGUGGGGGACCAGGUGGCACCCAGUGGAGGAAAAGCCCCCAAGAGACAUGCAGGAGCAUGGACUCCCGCCCCACAGCUGGAGCCUGGGAGAGGAGCCCCAUCUGCUGUUUCCCUGGUGCACUCACAUCCUGGCCCUCAGUGCCCCCUACCAGGAAUGCCCCCCACAUGCAGAGCCACAUGGGUCUUCCAAGGAAGAAGAAGGGGGCCCCUUGCAUCCUCCACUCCCGGGUGCCCCAGGAGUGCAUGGGGGCUCCAGGGUACAGGGACAGCACAUUCCCUCACCAACUGCCCAAGAACGCCCAACCUCCAAGAGCAGACACAACGCCUACACCUGCUGGUACAGGCCUCCAACCCCACUUUCUCAGAUACGUCCUCAAGAGUCAUCUCAUCCACCCCACCCUGGGCAGGAGGGAAACUGAGGCAUGGCAAGAGACAAGACUAACACAGCGUGGCCUCUCCCGGCACCAGCACCACCAGGCCCCGUGGAGGACACCAGGGUAAUCAGGAAGGAAAUUAGGCAGCCCAAGGAGGCAGGAGACAAGGCCCCCCCCCAGCCCCCAGCCAUCCCCACCAAUGCGGUUGCCCACAGGAUAUCACUGCCCCCAUCCCGGGGCCCACCAUUACCAGUAGGGAGAGGGAGGCAGAGGGAAGCUGGGGUCCAACGCUGGUGAGUGGGGAGGGGACGGGACACAGACCCGGCCGUGGCCCACCCCGAGAGGGGGGUGCAAACACCAGGCCCGUUCUGUGCUCUGGAGGCUUUGGACAGCUGUCAGGCUGGUUGGACGGUGUGCAGAGCAGACAGAGGCGUGAAGAGGAGGCUCCGGGGUCACCCAGGUUCAGCAGGGACAGAGCUCAGGGGGAAGGCACCUCCUGUCCUGGUUCAAUAAAUGGACCCCUGACCCUGGGAAAGGGACUGAGCCACCGGGAGGCCUCAGGUCACUGCACCAUGAAGGUGUGGGGAGCUGCGGGGGCCUCUGGGCUCCGAGCUGGGCAGGCACAGCGUGGGGACCACCUGCCGAGGGGAAGAAGCGUGCCAGGGUGGACGUCUCAGUGCACACACAGGAACAUGAAACGGCUGAGCCGGCCCAGAGAGGCAGCGGAGCAUGUGCGGGGCGGCCGGCGGAGGAGCAGCAGGGUGCCAGGCGGGAGCGCACGGCAUUCUCAGAGGCAGGUUCCAGGUCAAUACUAAGUGCUUUGAUCCAGGAGGUCCUAUUGGGACGUUUCAUCGAUACACGCACAUGCGAGGUGGAGGGUGGCCAGUGUGGGAUGUGCCCGGCAGCCUUCAUAGCAAAGGAGAAUUCUGGAACCAACCAAAGUGCCCCUCUGAAGGGAGCUGGUCCCGUCUGUUCCAGCCGCUGUGGAGUAACACGGCCAGCAGUUUCCCUCGUGCCACGAAAGCUCGAGACUGAAACUGAGGAUGAACUGUUUUCAGCCAGGGUCACCCCAGCCCUGGGGUGGAGGCCCAUUCAGGAUGGUCGAGCAGGUGUGGGCGUCCAGGCAGGUCCAGCAGUCCUGGGGGGCUGAGGAGAAGGAGGUCAGGGCUCAGGGAGGCAUCCGCAGAGGGACCUGGCAGGCAGAGCUCCGGAAGGGAGGGAACUGCACAGACAGAAAGCUCCAGAAGGCUGCCUGAGGGUCUCUGAGGCCUCCGGAGUCGGGCGCCAUGCAUGUGGAAGGUGGACUCUUCAGCAUGGGUGGGACCCUAGGGGGCUGUGGACCCCCGGCCCCUGGGACUCACAGGUGGGAGACAGGUCCUCUGCCACGCUGCUCACCAUGCUGUGCGUUAUCUCACUAUGAAAAGUCACCUAGGCCGAGCACGGUGGCUCGCGCCUGUAAUCCCGGCACUUUGGGAGGUGGAGGUGUGCGGAUCACUUGAGAUCAGGAGUUUGAGACCAUCCUGACUAACAUGGUGAAACCCCGUCUCUAGGAAGAAUACAAAAAUUAACUGGG